RNAcentral lists this ribosomal RNA (446 nucleotides) under uncultured bacterium. RNAcentral describes it as "bacterial SSU rRNA". It matches the Rfam family "Bacterial small subunit ribosomal RNA", at positions 331 to 793 of the family's 1533-position model. The record is from RNAcentral.
CCGGACUCCUACGGGAGGCAGCAGUGGGGAAUAUUGCACAAUGGGGGAAACCCUGAUGCAGCGACGCCGCGUGAGUGAAGAAGUAUUUCGGUAUGUAAAGCUCUAUCAGCAGGGAAGAAGAAGGACGGUACCUGAGUAAGAAGCCACGGCUAACUACGUGCCAGCAGCCGCGGUAAUACGUAGGUGGCAAGCGUUAUCCGGAUUUACUGGGUGUAAAGGGCGUGUAGGCGGGGACGCAAGUCAGAUGUGAAAUCCACGGGCUCAACCCGUGAACUGCAUUUGAAACUGUUUCCCUUGAGUGUCGGAGAGGUAAUCGGAAUUCCUUGUGUAGCGGUGAAAUGCGUAGAUAUAAGGAGGAACACCAGUGGCGAAGGCGGAUUGCUGGACAGUAACUGACGCUGAGGCGCGAAAGCGUGGGGAGCAAACAGGAUUAGAUACCCCCGUAU